RNAcentral lists this ribosomal RNA (802 nucleotides) under uncultured Pelagibacteraceae bacterium. Its description in RNAcentral is "bacterial SSU rRNA". It matches the Rfam family "Bacterial small subunit ribosomal RNA", at positions 35 to 885 of the family's 1533-position model. Lineage: Bacteria; Pseudomonadati; Pseudomonadota; Alphaproteobacteria; Candidatus Pelagibacterales; Candidatus Pelagibacteraceae. The record is from RNAcentral.
GCUGGCGGCACGCCUUAUACAUGCAAGUCGAACGAAGUAGCAAUACUUAGUGGCAGACGGGUGAGUAACAUGUGGGUAUCUUCCCUAUGGUGAGGAAUAACACGAGGAAACUUGUGCUAAUACCUCAUAAGUCUUUACGGAGAAAGCUUUAUGCGCCAUUGGAUGAGCCCGCACUUGAUUAGUUUGUUGGUAGGGUAAUGGCCUACCAAGACUGUGAUCAAUAGCUGAUUUGAGAGGAUGAUCAGCCACAUUGGGACUGAGACACGGCCCAAACUCCUACGGGAGGCAGCAGUAAGGAAUCUUGCACAAUGGAGGAAACUCUGAUGCAGCGAUGCCGCGUGAGUGAAGAAGGCCCUUGGGUUGUAAAGCUCUUUCGUCGGGGAAGAAAAUGACUGUACCCGAAUAAGAAGGUCCGGCUAACUUCGUGCCAGCAGCCGCGGUAAUACGAAGGGACCUAGCGUAGUUCGGAAUUACUGGGCUUAAAGAGUUCGUAGGUGGUUAAAAAAGUUGGUGGUGAAAUCCCAGAGCUUAACUCUGGAACUGCCAUCAAAACUUUUUAGCUAGAGUAUGAUAGAGGAAAGCAGAAUUUCUAGUGUAGAGGUGAAAUUCGUAGAUAUUAGAAAGAAUACCAAUUGCGAAGGCAGCUUUCUGGAUCAUUACUGACACUGAGGAACGAAAGCAUGGGUAGCGAAGAGGAUUAGAUACCCUCGUAGUCCAUGCCGUAAACGAUGUGUGUUAGACGUUGGAAAUUUAUUUUCAGUGUCGCAGCGAAAGCGAUAAACACACCGCCUGGGGAGUACGA